UCAGAUUGGGCAUCCCUGCCAAAGAACUUAUCGGAUAUGAUUCUGGACAAGUUGGUUUCGUUUCUGAAUAUGUUCGAUUUGGUGCGGUUUGCAAACCAUGGCAGUGUGUGGCAAUGGACAACAAACUUAAAUUCAUUCAAAAUAAGUUUUUUAGACAAGUUCCAUUCUUGAUGGUGCCUUCGAAAGAUAAUAGCAAUGAAAGACGUAGUCUAUAUAGCAUCACUCGUAAUAAGCUAUAUGAUUUUCAGUUAUGGGUGCCUUAUAAAAAGAGGCUUUCUGGUUCCUUACAUGGUUGGUUGUUUACUGUGGAAGAAUCCUUGGGCGUAACUCUAAUGAAUCCGUUUUCUGGUGCUACCAUUGAGCUUCCUCCAAUAAUGGACUACUUAGAAUUCGAACCUCCUCGUCAAAAUGGCGGUGAUAGUGACGGAGAGAUCUUAUACAAGAUUGAUGCAGUUCCUCCUGAGGUUGAAGUUGCAUAGGCUACAUUGAGAUGAAGUUUGGACUUACAUUAGAUAAAAAGAGAUUUCAGGUUUUCAAGUUGCUCGUAGAGCAAUUUGAGCAGGGUUGGCCUAUGUGGGUUGAAGUGAACAACUUGGGUGUAGACAUCCUGUUUUGGGGAAAUAACCAUUCCAUUUGUGUUUCAGCUUCCAAAUGGCCCGAAUGUCAGGCGAAUUCAAUAUUCUACACAGAAGAUUAUAAUAUCAUUGUAUACUAUCCCGCAUCUGGGUGCCGCGACGUUGGUAUCUUCAACAUAGAGAAUGGAAGCUUUGGGACCCAUUACAUACUUGAUCCUUCACAUAACCAUAUGCCACCUUCAAUUUGGAUUGUACAAACUGUUUUAGGAAAAUGAGUAUUAGACUUACUUUGUUUUUGGAUUGUCUUUUGGUCAAAUCUAAUUUAAUUUAGUUUUUUUUUUGCGCU
Molecule: long non-coding RNA, 921 nt
Organism: Cornus florida
Lineage: Eukaryota; Viridiplantae; Streptophyta; Magnoliopsida; Cornales; Cornaceae
Exons: 2
Source: RefSeq, a predicted model, not a curated record